GCCUAUUCCGAGCCCCGAGUGCCGAGUCGUCUACUGCAGCGCGCUAAUCUCCGCUGGGAUCUUUGCGCCCCCCAGGGCCUAGGCAGGGGAUUCCUAGAGGUUCCUUUUGGGUCAGAGUUCUGCUCCUGUGGUCCCCUUUCACUCCACGUCUAGCUUCAAUUUCCGGGGUUGCUUCAAUUCCCCUAGAAACCACUAGAUGUCCGCGCUGCUCCAAAUGCUGACUGGGAAAGCCCCCUCUGUCUCCCUGGAAGCCCCUUCGGGUCCCCAGGACCCCUGCUCAAAGCGCAUCCCGAUGUCUUCUUCCCCUUCAGUCACACAGAGUAUGAAAUUUAGCACUGCCCACUAGGAUACUGAGUGGGAGAAACUCCCCGAUCACCCCCUCGUCCGAAACACUCAAGUAACUACCCUACAGCUGAUGGGCAGUUUCUUCAUAUCGCUCACUCGAGGCUUUGAACCUUCCUUGUGACAAACGAAACCGGCUUCAUAAAAUAGCUAGCCGUCAGAGACCGUAGACUUCGCACUCUCUACGUGUUUUUGAAAUGUUGUAUUAAAAGAAUCCCUCCGUGUUUCCUAGGUAGACGGAAACCUUGUCUGCCGUUAGCCUGGUUUCCCUAGCCUGCCACCUAAACUGCUUUUCUCUCCCCUGAGGACGCUACCUAGGACAGCUCGGACUGAAACCUCUGGGACAAGGAGAAAGGAAGCGCUAUUGGUUGGGAGUGGAUGCAAGGUGCUCAUGUAAAACACUCCCCUGCCUCCCCUUCCCAGUGCGGGAGAACCAGAUUAAAAUGGGGAAAUAUUUAACAAAAUAAAUAGAUUUAAUAAACAUAGUUGAUGACACAA
This is a long non-coding RNA of Antechinus flavipes (yellow-footed antechinus), 840 nucleotides long. RefSeq lists it as uncharacterized. The record is from RefSeq and is a predicted model, not a curated record. The transcript is spliced from 2 exons. NCBI's taxonomy places the organism in Eukaryota, Metazoa, Chordata, Mammalia, Dasyuromorphia, Dasyuridae.